AAUCAACGCUGGCGGCGUGCCUAACACAUGCAAGUCGCACGAGAAAGGGACUUCGGUCCUGAGUACAGUGGCGCACGGGUGAGUAACACGUGAAUCAUCUACCUUCGAGUCGGGGAAUAACUGAGAGAAAUCUUAGCUAAUACCGCAUAAUACCUACGGGUCAAAGCAGCAAUGCGCUUGAAGAGGAGUUCGCGGCAGAUUAGUUAGUUGGCAGGGUAAGGCCUACCAAGACGAUGAUCUGUAUCCGGCCUGAGAGGGCGCACGGACACACUGGAACUGAAACACGGUCCAGACUCCUACGGGAGGCAGCAGUGGGGAAUUUUGCGCAAUGGGGGAAACCCUGACGCAGCAACGCCGCGUGG
RNAcentral lists this ribosomal RNA (362 nucleotides) under uncultured bacterium. RNAcentral's name for it is "bacterial SSU rRNA". It matches the Rfam family "Bacterial small subunit ribosomal RNA", at positions 32 to 404 of the family's 1533-position model. The record is from RNAcentral.